RNAcentral lists this transfer RNA (88 nucleotides) under Culicoidibacter larvae. RNAcentral's name for it is "Firmicutes bacterium CS-1 tRNA-Leu". It matches the Rfam family "tRNA". From Rfam's summary of the family: Transfer RNA (tRNA) molecules are approximately 80 nucleotides in length. Their secondary structure includes four short double-helical elements and three loops (D, anti-codon, and T loops). Lineage: Bacteria; Bacillati; Bacillota; Culicoidibacteria; Culicoidibacterales; Culicoidibacteraceae. The record is from RNAcentral.
GCGGAUGUGGCGGAAUUGGUAUACGCGCAAGACUAAGGAUCUUGUGGGAGUUAAUCCCGUGCAGGUUCAAGUCCUGUCAUCCGCACCA